CCUUGGAAGAAUCAUUGUUUUGUGUUGGCUUAGUCUGUGAUUGUCUGUCCAUUUUCACCGCCUGAUUGUGCCAGAGUGAGCUUUACUUCCUCAGUCCUGGGUUUUACUCUCUCGCUAUUCUACAACUGCUGAAUCUGAGCCACAGAGUGGCUUCACACUACUGGGGAGCUGAUCAGCAAUGGACAUUUGGACAAAGGCGGACAGAGAGAUAAAAUCUCCACCACAGUGAGGACUGCAGUAUAGCUCUGGAUUCCUUUCCCUGUGAUGAUGGUGACAUGAGGGCUGGUUUAUAUCAGGGACAUUCCAGGUACUCUAAGGAGCAAAAGAGCCACUCCUCCAUGAAGGCUUGGGAUCCAGUACUUCCUUUACAAUACUCCCACUUGAUGGGAUCCUCAGCUACCCCUCCCACGCCUCGGCUCAGCUCUGAGAAGCGGGACACUGUUUGCCAUCUUGGUAUUGACAAUUGUUAGCAUAAUAGCUGACAAAUACAGCAGGGAACAUGGAUGACUUUUGUCUUUCUGGAAUAGGAAACCAUGCUGGAAACACCGGGAAAUGAAAGGAAAAGGAAGAGACCCUAGAAUUCUCACUCUGCACACAGGGAAAAGGCAACGUGAGACACAAGAAGAGACCACUACUUGGAAGCCGAGGAGAGCGGUCUGGCCAGAAACCAACCCUGCUGGCACCCUGAAUCGUGGACUUCCAGCUUCCACACCUUUGAGAAAAUAAAUUUCUA
Manis javanica (Malayan pangolin) is the source of this 733-nucleotide long non-coding RNA. RefSeq lists it as uncharacterized. NCBI's taxonomy places the organism in Eukaryota, Metazoa, Chordata, Mammalia, Pholidota, Manidae. The record is from RefSeq and is a predicted model, not a curated record.